CACGUAGGGCGCAAGCGUUGUCCGGAAUUAUUGGGCGUAAAGAGCUCGUAGGCGGUCUGUUGCGUCCGCUGUGAAAACCCGGGGCUUAACCCCUGGCUUGCAGUGGAUACGGACAGACUAGAGGUAGGUAGGGGAGAAUGGAAUUCCCGGUGUAGCGGUGAAAUGCGCAGAUAUCGGGAGGAACACCGGUGGCGAAAGCGGCGACCUGGGACGAUACUGACGCUGAGGUGCGAAAGCGUGGGGAGCAAACAGG
Molecule: ribosomal RNA, 253 nt
Filed under: uncultured bacterium
Lineage: Bacteria
Description: partial 16S ribosomal RNA
Rfam family: Bacterial small subunit ribosomal RNA
Source: RNAcentral